Molecule: ribosomal RNA, 1779 nt
Filed under: Triticum aestivum (bread wheat)
Lineage: Eukaryota; Viridiplantae; Streptophyta; Magnoliopsida; Poales; Poaceae
Description: partial small subunit ribosomal RNA
Source: RNAcentral
AUGUUCAGGAGUGCGUCAUCUGGUCAGGACAAUAGGGACAGUCGGUCUUUGAAUGACAUCGGCAAGGAUUACGGGAGGCAGUAUCGAGAGGUGGAAGAAAAAAAAUUACUACAAAACAAGAAGAAGAUCAAGGAUGCAGAUGCUGUCAAACACGCACAUGCCAUGUGGGCUGGAAUAAUUGGAGUCAAGAGUGAGAUACAAGUUCUUGGCAAACGCCCCAACCAGGAGCAUGGUGUGCAACAAACACCUGCCAAGAGGAGCAUUCUAAGCAGCAGAGACUCCUCUAAGCAGAUUGUCCAGACACAGAUGCCCACAAAGGCGCAGAGCGGGCGUUGUGACGGUCCGGCGUUUGUAGGCGGUCAUAAUGAAGAGGUGCAGGGUAACAGAAUUUCCUUUGAUGUGUACGAGGAAGGAAGCAAGUAUCGCGGUAGUCCACGAAUUGAUGAAAACAUAAGGCAAGGUCCUUUGAAAGGAUCACCUGUGGCAUUCAACAUGAGGGGUCCUUCCAAAGGAUCUCCGAUGGCAUUCAAAAUCGUCAGCGAAAUCACCAAUGCACGGAGGUUGUCGCCAAGAUUUGGUGGACAAGAGAGGCAUGGGAAAACAAAGGUUGUUGUUGUGCGUCUCCGGUUGUAUGGUGUAAACAGAAGCACAUCUGUGCCUCUUUGUGCAGAUAGAAGCAGCAGCUCUGCUGUAAGUGGACCCCUGGCUGGUGACGAGACAGAUGUCGUCAGAAGUGAAUGCGAUCAGACGAACGAAGAAACAGUAGAGAGAAUCAUCAUGGCGCCGCCGACCAUUGUAGAGAAAGAAAUGGAUGACAUGUUUAAAGAUUUCAUAUACCCAACGAUUCAGGAGGUCACCAAAGUGGUCGAACUAGAAGGUGGUAUGGUAUUCAGAUCAUUGGAUGAGUGCCUUUUCUUUUUCUGCAGAUAUGCUAGAAAGGUUGGUUUUGCUGCCAAGCGAUCAACGAGCAGAAGAUCGACAUAUGAUCAGCAGCUUGACAAGCAGGUUUUUCAGUGCACCAAGGAAGGGCAGAAUAAAACAACUGAGAGACAUGUUAUGGAGAGAAGGAGCAACUGCUUGAUCCAGACAAGCUGCCUAGUCCAAAUAACAGCCAAGAGGGAUACAGAUAGGAGGAAAUGGUAUCUGAAGAACGUGCGUCUAGAGCACAACCAGGAGCUUCACCCAUCUGAUUGGAUGCUGAAGUUCAUGAGAUGCUAUAAGAAGAUGACACCUCAGGAGAAAUUCUUUAUACAAGUGUUGCAGAAGGCGAGGUUAGAACCAAGGAAGAGGCGGAGGCCGGGAUUCCACCAUGUGGAAGAGACAGAGAACAAUGUAGUGUGCAGCCUGUUCUGGACAGACUCCUUGUGUAAGAUGAAUUAUGAUCUAUAUGGAGAUUUCGUGUCUUUUGACACCACAUUCUCUACGAAUAUAUACGGCUUGCCAUUUGCACCAAUUAUAGGUGUCGACAACCACGGGUCGACCGUCCUAUUUGGAGUAGGCCUUUUGAAGGAUGAGAAAAUAGGGUCAUUCAAGUGGCUCCUAAGCAUGUUUGUCGAGGCAAUGGGAGGUAAAGAGCCGAAAUACAUAAUUACAUACCAGGACCAGGCGAUGAAGACUGCAAUAAAGGAAGCUCUUCCGAGGACGAGGCACAGGUUCUGCUGGUGGCAUAUUAGGAAGAACCUGAAGGAAAAUAAUGCAGCAGUGUUUGCGCAGCACCCAGGGAUGUCUGAUGAUAUAUUUCAAAUCUUCAAAAACUCACUAGAUCAAGACGAGUUUUAG